RNAcentral lists this ribosomal RNA (376 nucleotides) under uncultured organism. RNAcentral describes it as "bacterial SSU rRNA". It matches the Rfam family "Bacterial small subunit ribosomal RNA", at positions 526 to 897 of the family's 1533-position model. The record is from RNAcentral.
CGUAGGGUCCAAGCGUUAAAUCGGAAUUACUGGGCGUAAAGCGUGCGCAGGCGGCUUCGCAAGUCAGACGUGAAAUCCCCGGGCUUAACCUGGGAAUGGCGUUUGAAACUACGGAGCUGGGAGUGUGGCAGAGGGAGGUAGAAUUCCACGUGUAGCGGUGAAAUGCGUAGAUAUGUGGAGGAAUACCGAUGGCGAAGGCAGCCUCCUGGGCCAACACUGACGCGUCAUGCACGAAAGCGUGGGGAGCAAACAGGAUUAGAUACCCUGGUAGUCCACGCCCUAAACUAUGUCAACUAGUUGUUGGGGGAGUUAAAUCCCUUAGUAACGCAGCUAACGCGUGAAGUUGACCGCCUGGGGAGUACGGUCGCAAGAUUAA